ACAUAGGCAAGCGCGGCCACAUAGGCUAGACGCACUAUCUUCUCCUCUACCCCGCGCCGCCCUCCACCUCGGAGCGGGGACGUACGGUGGUGGCGGUGACACAAUGCGAGUGAGUGGAGCCUUUGGAAGGAAUUGGGCCAUGAGAAGAGCCCUCAUGAAUGGGAUUAGUUCCCUUAUAAGAAGAGACACCAAGGAAGUGAUCUUUCUCUGCCCUCUGCUAUGUGAAGACAAGGUCAUCUGCAGUUUUUUGUUGUUGUUGAUGAUCUUCCUGUCAUAGACAAUGCUGUAACAAACAGACUAAUUGUUCACUGUUGACAUAUAGAAGUACUACUGAUUGGCCAGACAUAGUGGCUCAUGCCUGGAAUCCCAGCACUUUGGGAGGCCAAGGCAGGUGGAUCACUUGAGCCCAGAAGUUUGAGACCAGCCUGGGCAACAUGAUGAAACCCCAUCUCUACAAAAUAAAUAGAAAAAUUAGCUGGGUAUGGUGGCAUGUGCCAGUAGUCCCAGCUACAUGGGAGCCUGAGGUGGGAGGACGACUUGAGCCCAGGAGGUGGAGGUUACAGUGAGCUGAGAUCAUGCCACUGCACUCCAGCCUGGGUGACAGAGUGGGACUCUGUCUAAAAAAAAAAUUGUAUUAUCUGUAAACGGAAAUAUAAAUAAUUUAACUUCUUCUUUUCCAA
This 680-nucleotide long non-coding RNA is filed under the name Homo sapiens (human). Its description in RNAcentral is "EDIL3 divergent transcript, transcript variant 1 (EDIL3-DT)". The record is from RNAcentral. Lineage: Eukaryota; Metazoa; Chordata; Mammalia; Primates; Hominidae.